Molecule: ribosomal RNA, 460 nt
Filed under: uncultured bacterium
Lineage: Bacteria
Description: partial 16S ribosomal RNA
Rfam family: Bacterial small subunit ribosomal RNA
Source: RNAcentral
CCUACGGGUGGCUGCAGUGAGGAAUAUUGGUCAAUGGACGAGAGUCUGAACCAGCCAAGCCGCGUGAAGGAUGACUGCCCUAUGGGUUGUAAACUUCUUUUAUAUGGGAAUAAAACGUUCCACGUGUGGGAUUUUGUAUGUACCAUAUGAAUAAGGAUCGGCUAACUCCGUGCCAGCAGCCGCGGUAAUACGGAGGAUCCGAGCGUUAUCCUGAUUUAUUGGGUUUAAAGGGAGCGUAGGUGGAUUGUUAAGUCAGUUGUGAAAGUUUGCGGCUCAACCGUAAAAUUGCAGUUGAAACUGGCAGUCUUGAGUACAGUAGAGGUGGGCGGAAUUCGUGGUGUAGCGGUGAAAUGCUUAGAUAUCACGAAGAACUACGAUUGCGAAGGCAGUUCACUGGACUGCAACUGACACUGAGGCUCGAAAGUGUGGGUAUCAAACAGGAUUAGAUACCCCUGUAGUC